Molecule: ribosomal RNA, 465 nt
Filed under: uncultured bacterium
Lineage: Bacteria
Description: partial 16S ribosomal RNA
Rfam family: Bacterial small subunit ribosomal RNA
Source: RNAcentral
GACGAACGCUGGCGGCGUGCUUAACACAUGCAAGUCGAACGGAAAGGCCCCUUUGGGGGUACUCGAGUGGCGAACGGGUGAGUAACACGUGAGUAACCUGCCCUUGACUUCGGGAUAACUUCAGGAAACUGGGGCUAAUACCGGAUAGGAAUCCUUGCUGCAUGGUGGGGGUUGGAAAGCUUCGGCGGUUUUGGAUGGACUCGCGGCUUAUCAGCUUGUUGGUGGGGUAGUGGCUUACCAAGGCUUUGACGGGUAGCCGGACUGAGAGGGCGACCGGCGACAGUGGGACUGAGAUAAGGCCCAGACUCCUACGGGAGGCAGCAGGGGGGAAUAUUGCACAAUGGGCGGAAGCCUGAUGCAGCAGCGCCGCGGGCGGGAUGACGGCCUUCGGGUUGAAAACCGCGUUCAGCAGGGGCGAAGCUUGUGGUGACGGUACCUGCAGAAGAAGCACCGGCUAACUACGUG